GUUUGGCCCUUGGAUUCUUCGUUUUCAGGUCUCAGGUAGUGCCGCAACUGUCGUGUAAUCGGACACGAUAAUGGUAAUUAUUAGCUGGUUCGACGGAAACAUUACCACACAGGGUGGACGGAAUGCUGGAACAUCGCGGGGAAAGGAUCGGAAAGAUAUUGUUGGCCCGACGUUUGCGUGAUUCGGUGAUAGCCCCGCGGGAAAAUCCUUUGCGCGUAGUUGUUACGCGAAACGGUCUUCUGCUGCGCUGUGAGCGAAAUGCUAAUGGGUGUUUUAGCAGUGCGCGGACUGUCUGUAGGAGAACUAAGAAUUUAUGCCAAGAUGUUUAACUUUUGAAAUCAACUACUUUAUAGUAAGCUCUGUACUUAAAAUUUAAUAUAAAAAAA
Anopheles stephensi (Asian malaria mosquito) is the source of this 386-nucleotide long non-coding RNA. RefSeq lists it as uncharacterized. NCBI's taxonomy places the organism in Eukaryota, Metazoa, Arthropoda, Insecta, Diptera, Culicidae. The transcript is spliced from 2 exons. The record is from RefSeq and is a predicted model, not a curated record.